RNAcentral lists this small RNA (79 nucleotides) under Flavobacterium xinjiangense. RNAcentral describes it as "Flavo-1 RNA". It matches the Rfam family "Flavo-1 RNA". Lineage: Bacteria; Pseudomonadati; Bacteroidota; Flavobacteriia; Flavobacteriales; Flavobacteriaceae. The record is from RNAcentral.
UUUUAGCCCCGAUUGCAGUGAAAAUCCUUUUUGUCUCUUUUUUGAGACAAAAAGAUUGUAACGGAAAGCGGGAAACAGC